CGUAGGGUGCAAGCGUUAAUCGGAAUUACUGGGCGUAAAGCGUGCGCAGGCGGCUUAGUAAGACAGGCGUGAAAUCCCCGGGCUCAACCUGGGAACUGCGCUUGUGACUGCUAAGCUAGAGUACGGCAGAGGGGGGUGGAAUUCCACGUGUAGCAGUGAAAUGCGUAGAGAUGUGGAGGAACACCAAUGGCGAAGGCAGCCCCCUGGGUCGAUACUGACGCUCAUGCACGAAAGCGUGGGUAGCAAACAGGAUUAGAUACCCUGGUAGUCCACGCCCUAAACGAUGUCAACUAGGUGUUGGGAGGGUAAAACCUUUUAGUACCGGAGCUAACGCGUGAAGUUGACCGCCUGGGGAGUACGGCCGCAAGGUUA
Molecule: ribosomal RNA, 372 nt
Filed under: uncultured organism
Description: bacterial SSU rRNA
Rfam family: Bacterial small subunit ribosomal RNA
Source: RNAcentral